GAGGAGAGUGCACAUAGUAUGCUUAUUCACGCAUAUCGUUCUGGGCUGAGGCGAUUAAUACAGCCACAUAUAUUCGCAAUCGAGUGCCUACCCAGCCUCUUGCAGACGUCUUUGGACCGGGAAGCAAGUCAGCUUGAGACAUCUACGAGUUUUUAGAUAAAAGUUUCUAACAGUCAUUGCAGAAAAUUGGAGCCGAAGAGCAUUCCUUGCAUCAUGGUUGGCUAUUGUCUCGAGACAUCGUCUUUACAACAUGGCCACCAGAUCAAUUCUUAUCAGCAGAGAUGUCAAGUUUGAUGAGAAAUCUCUUUACAAGCUCCUGAGACUCCAUUGAUGAAGAGGACGUUUCUAAGGCAUCUGGGCCGCAGCAGUCCACGGCCAGCAGCAGCUGCGAGCUCAGCAGCCUCAGCCUCAGCAGCAGGUCGAAGCAGAGCAGCAGCCUCCACUCGAGCCCAGUCCUGUCACACUCGAGCAAGAAGAUGAAGCAGUUAUGCCAUUUGAUGACGGCUUCAUUUCUCCAGGUUUGUUUGAUGAACCAGAGGAGGAGUCUCCACUAGGGCAGCCACAAGCAGAUGGCUGCAAGAUCUCAGCAAGAAGUCGAUCCAAUUAUUCCUGGGAAACCUUAUCAAACUGUCACACGCAGUGGGGGAGUUAGCUAUUUAUUGCAAGCAACUCACGAUGCUCAAAACUC
Molecule: long non-coding RNA, 688 nt
Filed under: Selaginella moellendorffii
Lineage: Eukaryota; Viridiplantae; Streptophyta; Lycopodiopsida; Selaginellales; Selaginellaceae
Description: long non-coding RNA (SMOE_LNC002008)
Source: RNAcentral